UUCAGCUUGGCAGAAAAAAUGUGAUAAAUUUAGAAUUUAUUUAUGAAUUCAUUCAGUUGAAA
RNAcentral lists this transfer RNA (62 nucleotides) under Rhipicephalus decoloratus. Its description in RNAcentral is "tRNA-Leu". Lineage: Eukaryota; Metazoa; Arthropoda; Arachnida; Ixodida; Ixodidae. The record is from RNAcentral.